UGAGGAAUAUUGGUCAAUGGGUGCAAGCCUGAACCAGCCAUCCCGCGUGAAGGACGACUGCCCUAUGGGUUGUAAACUUCUUUUGUAUAGGGAUAAACCUACCCUCGUGAGGGUAGCUGAAGGUACUAUACGAAUAAGCACCGGCUAACUCCGUGCCAGCAGCCGCGGUAAUACGGAGGGUGCAAGCGUUAUCCGGAUUUAUUGGGUUUAAAGGGUCCGUAGGCGGACUUAUAAGUCAGUGGUGAAAGCCUGCCGCUUAACGAUAGAACUGCCAUUGAUACUGUAAGUCUUGAGUAUAUUUGAGGUAGCUGGAAUAAGUAGUGUAGCGGUGAAAUGCAUAGAUAUUACUUAGAACACCAAUUGCGAAGGCAGGUUACCAAGAUAUAACUGACGCUGAGGGACGAAAGCGUGGGGAGCGAACA
Molecule: ribosomal RNA, 422 nt
Filed under: Microvirga ossetica
Lineage: Bacteria; Pseudomonadati; Pseudomonadota; Alphaproteobacteria; Hyphomicrobiales; Methylobacteriaceae
Also listed under: 1 other name
Description: partial 16S ribosomal RNA
Rfam family: Bacterial small subunit ribosomal RNA
Source: RNAcentral